GUGUGUUUUAAAGAAAAGGGUUUCCGUGUGGGAAACGGUUUUGAAAAGAUUUUAUUGGUUUUCAUGACUCUUAGUAUUUCAAAACGAGUUUCCGGAUAGAAAAUAUUUUAAACUAAUAGAUAUGAAUUUAUGAAUAUUUGUGAUGAAAUAAAUAUGGUUGUGAAUGGUGUAUGAUUAUCUGUGGAUGUUCAUAUGUGUGGUUGUAUUUGGUAUAGUAAAAUUGUAUCUUGUACUUGUAGGACGUCGUGCAAAUACAGGGGAGACUCUGUCCGUGUGAACAGUGGACUCCCUAUAUUUAUGACGGAUCUGGCAUACCUUGGGGGUCAAGAUUUAA
This 334-nucleotide long non-coding RNA is filed under the name Ananas comosus (pineapple). RNAcentral's name for it is "long non-coding RNA (ACOM_LNC003618)". The record is from RNAcentral. Lineage: Eukaryota; Viridiplantae; Streptophyta; Magnoliopsida; Poales; Bromeliaceae.